UAGGACUGUGUGCUAGAGAGUGAGUCAC
This 28-nucleotide non-coding RNA is filed under the name Mus musculus (house mouse). Lineage: Eukaryota; Metazoa; Chordata; Mammalia; Rodentia; Muridae. The record is from RNAcentral.